UAGAAAGGUCUCUCUGGCUGCCAUGUGGAAAACGGAUGGUGGAGACAGGACAGAGUGCAGCCAGCCAGGCCAGAGGGGGCGGUGGCCCGGGAGGGGCAGGGGGCAGGCAGAGGAGCUGCUGGGCGAGCCUUAAGAAGCAGAGUCAGAGUGCCAGGGAGCGACAGACCCUACAGGCUGGCCACACCGAUGCCCUGGCCAGCUCCUUUCUCCUGGGCCCCCCAACCCUAGAGCCUGGAAAAGCCAGGUUCCCAAUCUCCCCUACAGAGGUGACCACGGGACACAGAUCUAGCCAGAGACUUAAGAAGCCUGCUUUUGCUUUCUCGACAAAAGGGCCCACGGGAGCUACAGCCAGGCCUUCUUCCCGCCCUGCACACGGCCAUGAGGCCAGACCUGUGGCAGCCGUCUUGCGAAAAUGAGGCAAUAAGUGCAGAAUGAAAGCCAACUCGCCCACGAUGGGGGAGCAGAAAGGCAGCAACUGCCCAGAUGAAGAGACCACAGUGCGGCCUCCUUGCAGCUGAGAGCAACCUAUGCAGUGUCAGAUGCUACUGGGUGGGGCUGCCUGCAAAGUUCUAGAAUGGAACCCCAGAGCCCUGGGAAGGACGGAUUCCACUGCUCUCUUCACUUGGUUCCUGGGGAUGAGAGCAUGGUCCUCCUGGCUGGGGACUGGUUGAAGGCAGGGUCUGUGACCAAAGCCCGGACAGUGAGCAUUGGCCCUGGACUUUUGCUGGAACAUUAGGGAGCAGACACUCUCUUUCCACUGCUCAGCAGAGAGGAUAAUCAUUGUGAGGCUGACAGGGUUAUGAUAAGCAGGGUUAUGAUAUACGAUAAAGCUAAUAUUUACUGAGUGCUGGCUGAACGUCAGUUUCACUCUUUUUAAGGCCAUCACAUGUGCCACUGUCAAUCCUUAAGCCAAUGGCAUGAAGUAAGUACAGACGACAAAACUGAAGACCUGACAGAUUAAGCAACUUUCCCAGGGCCGCAGAGCCACAGAGUGACAGAUGAAGACGUUGGUUGCACAGUCCUGCUCCAGAGCCCACCCCCUGAUCCCUUCUCUGCCACUUCUCCUCAAGCCUAAACCUUCAGAAACGACUGCUGCCUAAUAAUGAAGGAAGCCAGGGUGAAAGAGAGUAGAAAAGACACUGGGAGAAAAGAAAUGGGUCUGAGAACAUCGAGGCCCCUGGAUCCAGCUGUGCCUGAAACCAGACCUUCUGAACUUGGAAAUUAUUUGAGUCAAUAAAUUGCCUCUUUGUUAACACUGCUUUGAUUGGGUCUCUGCCCACUGACACAAACACUGCUGAGGCUCACGGCACAUCUGACACAGGCAAACCAGGAAGCACAG
Long non-coding RNA from Acinonyx jubatus (cheetah), 1339 nucleotides. RefSeq lists it as uncharacterized. The transcript is spliced from 3 exons. Lineage: Eukaryota; Metazoa; Chordata; Mammalia; Carnivora; Felidae. The record is from RefSeq and is a predicted model, not a curated record.